This 3267-nucleotide long non-coding RNA is filed under the name Triticum aestivum (bread wheat). RNAcentral describes it as "long non-coding RNA (TAES_LNC005620)". The record is from RNAcentral. Lineage: Eukaryota; Viridiplantae; Streptophyta; Magnoliopsida; Poales; Poaceae.
UCACACAAUUUAUGCAUACACUUCAAAGCAACAUAUAGGCCUCAUCAAAAACCUUAAACUUCAUUUAAGAAACAUGACAACCAUAUAUAUACAGGUUGUGCCACAAAAGGAGCACAUAUAUGUUUCUAGGUGUGCCACACAAUAAAAAAUGAAGUGGUGCCACAAAGGGAGGAGUACAUAUGUUUCUAGGUGCGUCACCCAACCAAAAAGAGCAUACAGUGGCUUAUGUGCCAAAACAACCACCAAAAUGAGCAGCACGUGCCAAUGUCACCAGGUUCAACAAACAAGGUACAUUACAUAACCACUCCACCAACUUAAUUGUAGGUCUUGCAAACAUUCAACAGCUUGUAGGUGAUCCAAGCCUUAACUUGUAGAUCAUCCAAACCUUCAGAAGCUUGUAGAUCACCCAACUUAAUUGUAGGUCUUGCAAACAUUCAACGGCUUGUAGGUGAUCCAAGCCUUAACUUGUAGAUCAUCCAAACCUUCAGAAGCUUGUAGAUCACCCAGUGUAUCUUUGGGAAACCUGCACAGACCAGAAAUUCAAAACAGAGCUCUCAUAGCACAAUAAAGCUGUUGUAACAUAAACAUGCUACUAGUACUUGAAGGACAAGAUAGCCCAAUAAAAAUGUAAUCUUUACAUCAUAUAAGGGCAAGUGUUCUAAGGCCUUGUUUAUUUCCCUUGCUAUUGGGCAUUGGCGGAAGCAACGAACGCAAUGAACCUAUUCAGUACGUGGAGUCUAAAUCAAGGCUGAUGUUGUACAAAGCUCAUUCAUUGGAGAUGAAAAGGAUUUGAAUCAGACUGAUGUACAGUUGUACACAACGCGUUUCAUUCUAGUAAUAGUAACAAAUCAGAUAUUUCUGUCGUUCCAAACUUGUUUAUAGUAACCUGAAGGUUGAGGUUAUGACCUACCCAUUAAGAAAAGCACCCAACUUGUUGGGCAUAAAAAUAAGCCACCAACAAUAAAAGCGCUCGUUCAAAUAAUGUGCUUGUAAUUAACAGGAUAAAAUGUUUGCCAUGGUCACCUUUGGCAAAAUUGCUAUUGGAUUAAAAUGGAUGUAAGCUAUUUCAUUUCUCCUCCGUAUUCUCAUUUCACCUGAUUUUGUUGUUUACUAAAAUGACCUAAAAUGGAUGCAGACUAAAAUGGACUAAAAUGGAUGCAGAUUAAAAUGUAAGUAGCUAGCUAGCUGGGAUGCUUGCUACAAGUACGUAUUAAUCAUCUCUUUUUUUAAGUGAUGCAUGCAGCCUCAUCUUAACAACCAUGUACUCCCUCCGUUCCUAAAUAUUUGUCUUUUUAGAGAUUUCAAAUGGACUAUAACAUACGGAUGUAUAUAGACAUAUUUUAAAGUGUAGAUUCACUUAUUUUGCUCUGUAUGUAGUCACUUGUUGAAAUCUCUAGAAAGACAAAUAUUUAGGAACGGAGGGAGUACGUACUAAUCUAGUAGCUCCAGCAUGUACGUGAUACUACUAGUACACACAUGUUGUUUUUUAAGUGUGUGGUUAAUUUUCUUUACCACCUCACAGGAAACAUCAAAUUGUUUUGGUUUCUUAGGGAGUUGCACGUGCAAGUAUUCUAUACGGCACAUGAAUACGGGUUCACAAGACCCAAGGGCUCAACAGAGUACAAGAAGUUCAGGUUGGAUAUAUGCCUUACAAAGUGUAUUCUCUGCAUUCACAGAAAAAAGUGUAUUCCCUGCCUCCAUUCAAACUUCUCCUCCGAGCAUGUUGUAGCCUUUGCUUAGCUGCUAGUGACUACUUGUCAUGUCAUAAUACAUGGAACAUAUAAGAAUCAGUGCUUCAUGUUAUUCUUAUGAAAUAGUAACUUAUAUUGAGUAAAAACUAGAUUGGAGAUAAAGGAACCGUAGAAAACCAACAUAUUAUACUACCUCCGUCUCAUAAUGUAAGACGUUUUUUGACAAUACUUACAUUAUGGGACAGAGGGAGUACCAUUUAAACUCUAGAAGAGUGGUCCACUUUCAGUCUGUCUUGCAGCAAAAUGAAAGGAGGCGUAAACAAGUUCUCUAGCUAGUUGUUUUCUUCCAUGUAGUAGUAUAUGUGUGUGAUGACAGUUGAACUAGAUGAUCUCACAUCGAUCAACCAAUGGGGAUAAACAGCACAAUACAAAUACCUUUUUGUCCAUGUAGUACUCCUAAAGUGUUUUACUGAUUUAGUAUUAAGUUGUAGCAUCCACUUGUUUAGCACCGAAAGAUUAUUGAACGUCCUAUACUAAUAAGGCUUACUAGAACAUGUUGCAGUCAUUUAGAAGUAUCCACUGCCAUGGUGCAUAGAUCAUUUUAGAAGUUUUGACUGACAGAGAACAUAUCUAGAGGCCUUUAUGUACAAUCUAAACUAAAACUGCAAACAUUCCAUGCUGCUUCCUACCAAGAUGUCUGAAGAUUAAAACGAUAAAAUGUUUUGAAGAACUAUUCUUGCUUGAUUAAAUGGAGAAACAUUUUAAGUAGUAAGUGCCAUGAGUGUGGCAAAUCAUGAGCAUUAUGAAUUCCUGGAACAAACCUACCACUGCUAGAACCAGUCCCCAAUCCUUUCACUGAUAGCACCUGCAACAAUUUGGAAGCAAAAUACAGAGGCAGCAAUGAGAAAGACUUGGAGCCCAGUAGUAAUUCGGUGGAAGGGAGGGAAAAUCUACAGCAAUGAGAAGAUAAAUCGGCAAUAUCUCGUGAGUUCUCAUCCAUCAGAAAAGAAGAGUUUCACAACCUUUGUAAGGAAAAGCAUACCUGCAUCGCGUUUCACCAUGACAGAUCUGAGCAACAUGUUGUACUAGCGUAGUGGGGAGCAGGCACCGCGGUCGCCGUCGGUGUGGUAAGAGACAUGGUGGGGAGCCCGAUAGCGCUCGUCCGCGUGGAGGGUCGCGGAGAAGAGCAGCGCGAUGGCGUGGGGUGGCACGGCUAACUUGAGACAAGAGGCCCGGAGUUCGUCGCCGGAUCUCGUGCUGGGGAUCAAGGCGACGUCGACCUCAACGCACAGGCGCCGUCGACCUGUCCUAGGGUGGUGCCGCAGGGAGCGAGACGACGUUGACCACGUACACCAGAUCCGUGUGGACGGAGGCGAGGCCGAUCUCGACGCACCGGCGGCAUCGAUCUCAGUGGGGGUCACCAGGUCGGCGGAGGGGGUCGGCGGUGGAGGGCGCUGUCGAGGACAGAGGGGCUCUUGUCGGCGGCUGCGGUGGCGGCGGCGGAGGAGGAGGAGGAUGGGUCUGGACUCUAGAGGGUUCGAUUUGGGCAAGCAUUGGGCGGCGGCUAUAACUAUUU